Pipra filicauda (Wire-tailed manakin) is the source of this 371-nucleotide long non-coding RNA. RefSeq lists it as uncharacterized. The record is from RefSeq and is a predicted model, not a curated record. The transcript has 3 exons. NCBI's taxonomy places the organism in Eukaryota, Metazoa, Chordata, Aves, Passeriformes, Pipridae.
GGGCUGGUCUCCAGCGCCAAAAUGCCUGAAAAAAUGUUAUACCAGGCAGCUGAUAAAUGGUUAUUUCCCAAGACACCAGAGGGAUUUUUACAAAGAAGGUGAAACAGCUACAUAUGCCUGCAACAAUUAUUACCGUGCCGAGCAUAAAGUCGUCACGUGCAGAAGGAAUGGCUGGUCACCUCAUCCCAGAUGUAUCCCUGAAAACAUAUGUUAUGCCAGCCAGCUGAUAAAUGGUUAUUUCCCAAGAGGCAGGACGGGUCUUUACAAACAAGGUGAAAGAACUACAUACACCUGCAACCCUGAUUACCAUGCUGUGCAUCAAGUCGUCACCUGCACAGAGAAUGGCUGGUUCCCUCCUCCCAGAUGUAUCC